GUGGGGAAUAUUGGACAAUGGGCGCAAGCCUGAUCCAGCCAUGCCGCGUGAGUGAUGAAGGCCUUAGGGUUGUAAAGCUCUUUCAGCUGGGAAGAUAAUGACGGUACCAGCAGAAGAAGCCCCGGCUAACUUCGUGCCAGCAGCCGCGGUAAUACGAAGGGGGCUAGCGUUGUUCGGAAUCACUGGGCGUAAAGCGCACGUAGGCGGAUCGAUAAGUCAGGGGUGAAAUCCCGAGGCUCAACCUCGGAACUGCCUUUGAUACUGUCGACCUUGAGUCCGGGAGAGGUGAGUGGAACUCCGAGUGUAGAGGUGAAAUUCGUAGAUAUUCGGAAGAACACCAGUGGCGAAGGCGGCUCACUGGCCCGGUACUGACGCUGAGGUGCGAAAGCGUGGGGAGCAAACAGGAUUAGAAACCCCGGUAGUCC
RNAcentral lists this ribosomal RNA (425 nucleotides) under uncultured bacterium. RNAcentral's name for it is "bacterial SSU rRNA". It matches the Rfam family "Bacterial small subunit ribosomal RNA", at positions 354 to 796 of the family's 1533-position model. The record is from RNAcentral.